Long non-coding RNA from Bubalus bubalis (water buffalo), 850 nucleotides. RefSeq lists it as uncharacterized. The transcript is spliced from 2 exons. NCBI's taxonomy places the organism in Eukaryota, Metazoa, Chordata, Mammalia, Artiodactyla, Bovidae. The record is from RefSeq and is a predicted model, not a curated record.
GCCUCUUUGCAGCAGUCUCUCAGAGCUAUCUGAGAUGCUGCCUCCCAGAUUGCAGUCCUCAUUUUGCCCCAAAUAAAACUUAACUCACAACUCUCAAGUUGUACAUCUUUUUUUAGUUGACAGUUAUGGUGACCACAAAAAGACCCAGAGUGGACUUCCUUCCUUUGACUGGACUCCAGGAGGAACUGGAGCUGUGGUACUAGCAGCGGCCCCCUGCGCCCAUCCGCCUCCUGGGGGAGUGCAGACAAAUUUGGAUCAGAUGCCUCAUACAUGACUUGCAAUCAAGACUGGAAGAAGACAUAAUUUAAGUAACUGUCUCCAAUCUGGAUGGAAGGACCUUUCUAUCAGGUACUUUAAACUAGCUCACGCCCAGUGAAACUGAAGGGAAACUGACUCUUGGGUUAACUCCCACUUCCAAAGAUCCCUAAGAUGGACUGGUCCAUAGAGAGGACCGCUGACCUCAGACUCACCUUAAAGCAAUGUUCAAACAGAGGAUGAGAAGAAGACAGCAUCAGAAGUUGACAGCUUGCCCAAGAUGCUAAUCAGACUUGUACGAUCAUUUAUAAUGUUUUAUUGAUUCUUUGGACCUAUGCCUGUCAAUCAAAUAUUUUCUAUCAUGGACAUGAUUCUAUGCUAGUUUAAAACACAAUGUAAUUGUUGGGUUGUGGCCAAUUACCUGUGCCUAGUACUUCUGGGUUACCUUGGUGGAUUUCUGUUCUCUAGGGCUCUGAUUGGAUACCCCCUAGGAAAUUUAUUUUAGAUGGGUGUUCAGUCCUGUUCUAUCUAUUCAUGAUAUUACUAGAUGGGAUCCUGUCACCUGGCCAAUUAAUAAUACCUGCUCUGAUGCUGG